UGGCACGGUGCUAGGGAUUUCUGU
RNAcentral lists this non-coding RNA (24 nucleotides) under Gallus gallus (chicken). The record is from miRBase by way of RNAcentral. Lineage: Eukaryota; Metazoa; Chordata; Aves; Galliformes; Phasianidae.